Molecule: long non-coding RNA, 4975 nt
Filed under: Gossypium barbadense (sea-island cotton)
Lineage: Eukaryota; Viridiplantae; Streptophyta; Magnoliopsida; Malvales; Malvaceae
Description: long non-coding RNA (GBAR_LNC019556)
Source: RNAcentral
UGGUUGCAAUGGCUCUGCUUCUUCAAUCCAUGGUGCCUCCGACAGCAUUAGCUGCUCGUAACAAUGUUAUGGAAUACAAUCCAUUGGCAAGCGUAUUCUCGAGGGAAGGCCCUGGCUGCAUCGCAAAAGGCGGGUUUUGCUUGUUUGACCUAACCAGUUGCUGUAGGCCAUGCGGAUGCCUUGCAGGGUGGUGCUAUAACAUUGAUCAUGAUUGCAAUGAGUACACAUAAUGGUCGCUACUGAGUUAAAAGAAAACAGUUCUGAGUAAAAAAAUGACAUGGGAUUCGAUUAUAAAUGUUCUAUAUAUAACAUAUGUAUUUGAAUAAAGAAUCUCGUGUUAUGUCCCUGUUUAAUUGAGCUGUGCCGUUGUUGUAAGAGUUGGUGUUUUCCGUCUUCUCGUUGGUGUGUUGGUACUGUGUGUACCCUUGUUAUUGGCAUGUCUAAAAAUAAAUAUAUAUGUCAAUCAACUAAGUUUUAUGAGUAUUUACCUGCCUCUCUUAUCUAAUUCAUGGAAGGAUCACAUUUUAUAAAUUGAGCGAGGAGAUGUUAUUGUCGAGACUUGAAUCCUGGACUUUAAAUAUUAACACACAGCUCUUAACUACUUGCUCAAUUACGGUAAAUAUCAUUAAUAAAUACUAAUAUCAACGCGGAUGUUGGAAAUCACCACAGUUGGGUUGGGUGAAAAUCAAUAUGGAUGGAACGGUUGGGCGAAUGACUGAUAUAGCGACAGUAGGAGGAGUCAUCAGAGAUCAUAAUGUGAAGUGGCUGUGAGGCUGUUAUAGCAAUCUUGGUUCGUGUUCUGUGCUUCAUGCUGAGUUAUGGAGUGGUUGGGAGGGUUUCUUUCUGGCAUUGAAUUGCGGGUUUAGCAGGGUGGUUUCAGAAAUGGAUAAUGUAAAAAUAUUAUGUUCUCAGGAGAAAGCUAAGCACAAUGCUAUGGUCAGGAGAAUAAAGACUAUACCGGUUAGCCAUGGGAAGUGAAGAUACAGCAUGCUGUUGGUGAGGGUAAUUUUAUUCCAAAUGGUCUUGCAAACCAGCGGCUGAAUUCGAAUCCAGAAACACUUGUACUUAUCAGUGCACUAGACGAGAUCUUGAGAGAAUUACAUGAUGAAGCAUGCCAAAUUGGGUAUGGCAGGGUGUGAGUGUCUUAGUUGUAACUUUGUAUAGCUUUUUAUUUUACUCACGAAUUAAAAAAUAAUAUAAAUUCACGUAACUAAAUAAUAUUGCUUAAAGUGGUAUGAAGUAUGGAAUACUGGGGAAUUAUUAUACUUCUGUUUUUUGAAUUAUAUUUUAAAAUUCAUAUAUGUUUGUGGGAUCAAUUGGAUAUAUAAAAAGGACUGAUGUAAUUAUGCUUUCACUUUCAUUAUUAAGAUUAUCAAUUUAGUUUGUUAGUUGACAUAUAUGUUUAUUAAUAAAGUUAGCUUUUGAAAAAUAAAUAAAGUUAGCAAGAUUGAUAUACCAUCCUACCUAGGGAUGGCAACAGGGUAGGGUGGGACGAAUUUUUGCUUGUCCCUACUCAAACAAGAUGGACCGACCCAACUUAAAUUUUAUUUAAUUAUUUUGUUUUUUAUUUUAAAAAUUAAUUUUUUUGAGUUUACACAUAUAUAUAAUUAUAUGGCAGUGACAUUUUUGCAAAUAUUUAGGGACGGGUUGAGGGGAUUUACCUCAAACCCAAUCCCAACCCCUUAGCAUUUGAAUUUAUUGAAAUGCUUGGAGCAGAAGUCCAUUUAUUAUUGUUACAGUAUGCUUUUUUUUUGUGCAAAGCUUGCUCUCGGAUUGCAAAGAAAAUCAAUUGGAUUUUGAUAGUAAGCUUUACCUAGUAUCUUUAUUUUUGUAAUUCCAGCUUUAUGGAUUUGAAUUUUAUGGUAAAAGUACUAGGAAAGCAUUUCGGCUCUUUCUAUUGAAAAAAUAAAUUAAUUAAUCUUUAUAUAUUUUGAAACGUGUAAAUUAAUUCAUCCAUUAAAUUUUAUGACGUGGAACGUUAAUUUAAAUGGUUGAUUACUAGUCUAAUCCCUGAUCAUAGCUAAAAUAUCAUUCUUUUUAAAAAUUCUUAACAAUAAUUCUAAAAAAUUAAAAAAAUCUUAAAAAUAAAUAUAACUUAUUAAAAAUUAUGUUAAAAUAUUUUAAAAAUAAAAAUUAUAAAUAAAAAAUUCUAGAAAACAUAACUUAUAUCUAUUUAAAAAAAAUUUGUCAAACUUUCAAGUCGAAACUUGAAACCAUCAUAUUUUUUUACAAGACUUUCUUCCCUGUUGUAAAAAAACCCAAAAAAUCAAAAAGGUUUUUCAUGCUUGAUUGAAGUCAUAAAGAAAUAAAUAAAAACUUGAUUGAACCCAAGAAAAAUCAUCUAAAAGUUUUGACUACUCAUUUUCAAAUUUCUCCUACUUUCAUAAAUAUUCAUUUAAUCUUCGUCCCCUGUGCUUCCAACUAAAAUGUAUAUAAAAAUUUAUUUAAUGUUUACUUUAUUCUACAUUAGUGAAUACUCAUUUUUGCAUCUCCUAAUGAUGUAUAAUCAUAUUACAAAAUUUUGAUUACUCAUUUUCACAUCCCCUUAGCUAUUACAAACUUUCCUAUUUAAAAAAUCUUAUUGUUUAAUACCCUAGAAGCCUUAAUCUUUAAGCUACUGGGCUUUGAAUUUUUAAUAUAAAUGUGUGGGUUUUAUCUUUAAGCUUUAAUCUUAUUCGAAAAUUAGCAAAAGAUAAAUACAUUAAAAGCACAAAUUUAACUUGCUAUCAUACCCUGAACCUAAACCCAUAAUUUAAUAGAAGACCCAACUUUGAACCGAUCUGACUCGACUAUUUUUCUAAUUUCACCCUAUAUGACCUACAUCGAACUUAAUUAUUCGAAAAUAAAAUUAGACCCAAACGGAUCGGGUCAACACAAAACCCGUCAAAUUCACCAGGACGAAGACAAGGGGCAAGUAAUGCCCAAAAACAUAUAUAUAUAUAUAAUUUAGAUCUUUUAACAUUUAGGAAAUUUUAAAUUAAAAAAAAUACAUUUUAACAUUUUAAUCUCAAAUAUUUAUGAUUCAUCUCUAUAUCUUUUUAAAAGUAUUUUUCUGGGUUCACCCUUACUCCAACCAUUCGUACUGCUUAGUAACAUAUAAACGUAACAAAUUAUUUAUCUCUCCCAUCAGUACUACAUGCACAUAAGUGCAUUCACUAUUCCAUGCAAUAUCUCAUUUGUCACAUGCAUUACGAACCUGGUCCCCAUCACUACAUGCACAUAAAUGCAUUCAUUAUUCCAUGCAAUAUCUCAUAUGUCACAGGCAUUACGAACCUGGACCAUCAUCUUUUCUAUAUAAAGGACCCUCCACCUACGAACAUUCCACACAAAACACAUAAUCAUGGAAUCCUUCAAGAAGAUCGUUUUUCUCAUCGUUGCUUUAUCUAUAGUUCUUCAAGCCACGGUGCCUCCAAACUGCGUUAGUCCUCUCGUAACGAGGUUAUGUCCUCUGCUGCUGUAUCGAAAGUGGCUAACGAUUCCAACGGUUUGGCUAAGGUUUUCGAGAAGGUAGGCCCUGGCUGCAAACCUAAAGGUUCGUUUUGCUUGUUUGACCUAACUAGUUGCUGUAGGCCUUGCGGAUGCCUUGCAGGGUGGUGCAAUAACAUUGAUCAUGAUUUCAAUUAAUGAGUACACAUAAUGGUCGUUACUGAGUCAAAAAAAAAAAACACAGCUCUGAGUCAAAAAACGACAUGGGAUUCGAUUAUAAAUGUUCUAUAUAUAACAUAUGUAUUUGAAUAAAGAAUCUCGCGUUAUGUCCCUGUUUGGUUGUGCUGUGCUAUUUGUUGUGAGAGUUGGUGUUUUCCGUGUUCUCUUUGGUGUGUUGGUAGCAUUUUUCUCAAAAACAAAUUAAGUGCCUUUCACAAUUUUAAAUAUAAAAUAUUUAUUUUAUAUUAUAAAAAAUUAAAAUUAAUUAUUCGAUUCGAUUCAGUUUUCUAACUUGAAAGCCAAAACGAGUGAGUAGUAGCCUACUAGAGUAGAUCGAAUUAGCAAAUCGACACUAGUUUAUACGUGCUUCCUUUUGAACCGCUUCGAAAUCAGCUCCAAAAAACUGCUAGAGUCUCGAGCAACUUAAAAACCUCAAAAAAAAUUAUAGAGCUGAAAAGCACAAAAAAUGCACCGUUUCAGAGGCAGGUGAGCUGAAAAACCAGCAGCUGAAAGGGACAAACCCGUCACGUGCAGCUCUCCAAUAGCAGGUCAUGGAGUUCAGUGAAGAAAAACCACAGCAGGCAUAAGCAGCACAAAACCAGACCCAAACAGCUCAAUAAACAGAAUUGAAACAGUUGAUUAGACCCAAACCAGCUCGAAUCAGUAGCAUCGUUUUCUAUAUAAUGGGCCUCCUCCACCUACAAGCUAUUCCACACACAAAAAACAUAAUCAUGGAGCGGUGCAAGAAGUUCGCUUUUCUGAUGGUUGCAAUGGCUCUGCUUCUUCAAUCCAUGGUGCCUCCGACAGCAUUAGCUGCUCGUAACAAUGUUAUGGAAUACAAUCCAUUGGCAAGCUUAUUCUCGAGGGAAGGCCCUGGCUGCAUCGCAAAAGGCGGGUUUUGCUUGUUUGACCUAACCAGUUGCUGUAGGCCAUGCGGAUGCCUUGCAGGGUGGUGCUAUAACAUUGAUCAUAAUUGCAAUGAGUACACAUAAUGGUCGCUACUGAGUUAAAAAAAACAGUUCUGAGUCAAAAAAUGACAUGGGAUUCGAUUAUAAAUGUUCUAUAUAUAACAUAUGUUUUUGAAUAAAGAAUCUCGUGUUAUGUCCCUGUUUAAUUGAGCUGUGCCAUUGUUGUAAGAGUUGGUGUUUUCCGUCUUCUCGUUGGUGUGUUGGUACUGUGUGUACCCUUGUUAUUGGCAUGUCUAAGAAUAAAUAUAUAUGUCAAUCAACUAAGUUUUAUGAGUAUUUACCUGCCUGUUUUAUCUAAUUCAUGGACGGAUCACAUUUUAUAAAUUGAGCGAGGAGAUGUUAUUGUCGAGACUUGAAUCCUG